This 564-nucleotide long non-coding RNA is filed under the name Homo sapiens (human). RNAcentral describes it as "PSMD7 divergent transcript". The record is from RNAcentral. Lineage: Eukaryota; Metazoa; Chordata; Mammalia; Primates; Hominidae.
GACAGUUUACUUUUCUACCACCCGGAAGAAGUUCACUUUUGCUUCAGGUCAAAAUCCUCCGCGAUUUCUGAGAGGAACUUUAAAUCUCUAACAUAAGAGCACGCUUUUAAUAUUGCAGGGAGAGGCUCCUCCGUGCUCCUGAGAGGCCGAACACAGGGUCGCCAGCACAGCUUACUGCUCGGUGUCUCCUGAGCCACAGAGGAAGACGUGGCAGGAGCACCUGGUGCUAAUAUAUAUUCAUGUCUAUGGCAAUGCCGACCAUCUGGCUGGUCUGAACCAGGAUAAAAGUGAAGAAUUCCUCUGUGAAGACCCAGCUCUUUCUUUGGCUCCUUUUUUGAAGCCAUCUUUGCUCUGCUCUCCUCUGCUGCCCAGGCCCAGUGGGACCUUGAAUACAUACUGUAUUUCUUUAAUUCAUGAAUGUACCAUUGGAAUAUAUAUAAUCAACAAUGAUGGAACCUCAUACUGGCUUCUCACCUAUUAUACUAGAAAGGACUAAAUGGAAAGAAACUUCUGGAAUUCCUCUCAAUACCAAGAGUAAAUGAAAAGAAAUACCACAUCCCUGGG